This 711-nucleotide ribosomal RNA is filed under the name uncultured bacterium. RNAcentral's name for it is "bacterial SSU rRNA". It matches the Rfam family "Bacterial small subunit ribosomal RNA", at positions 73 to 808 of the family's 1533-position model. The record is from RNAcentral.
UGCUAGCUUGCUAAUAAUUCUCUAGUGGCGCACGGGUGAGUAACACGUGAGUAACCUGCCCCCAAGAGUGGGAUAGCCCCGGGAAACUGGGAUUAAUACCGCAUAAAAUCGCAAGAUUAAAGCAGCAAUGCGCUUGGGGAUGGGCUCGCGUCCUAUUAGUUAGUUGGUGAGGUAACGGCUCACCAAGGCGAUGACGGGUAGCCGGUCUGAGAGGAUGUCCGGCCACACUGGAACUGAGACACGGUCCAGACACCUACGGGUGGCAGCAGUCGAGAAUCAUUCACAAUGGGGGAAACCCUGAUGGUGCGACGCCGCGUGGGGGAAUGAAGGUCUUCGGAUUGUAAACCCCUGUCAUGUGGGAGCAAAUUAAAAAGAUAGUACCACAAGAGGAAGAGACGGCUAACUCUGUGCCAGCAGCCGCGGUAAUACAGAGGUCUCAAGCGUUGUUCGGAAUCACUGGGCGUAAAGCGUGCGUAGGCGGUUUCGUAAGUCGUGUGUGAAAGGCGGGGGCUCAACCCCCGGACUGCACAUGAUACUGCGAGACUAGAGUAAUGGAGGGGGAACCGGAAUUCUCGGUGUAGCAGUGAAAUGCGUAGAUAUCGAGAGGAACACUCGUGGCGAAGGCGGGUUCCUGGACAUUAACUGACGCUGAGGCACGAAGGCCAGGGGAGCGAAAGGGAUUAGAUACCCCUGUAGUCCUGGCAGUAAACG